This 68-nucleotide transfer RNA is filed under the name Geomydoecus aurei. RNAcentral's name for it is "tRNA-Ile". Lineage: Eukaryota; Metazoa; Arthropoda; Insecta; Psocodea; Trichodectidae. The record is from RNAcentral.
AGUGUUGUGCCUGAAGCUUAAGGGUUAUUUUGAUGGGAUGAUUAUACCGCAACUUGCGGUCAAUACUA